Molecule: unclassified non-coding RNA, 242 nt
Filed under: uncultured fungus
Lineage: Eukaryota; Fungi
Description: sequence contains ITS2
Rfam family: 5.8S ribosomal RNA (bases 1-52)
Source: RNAcentral
AACGCACAUUGCGCCCUGUGGUAUUCCGCAGGGCAUGCCUGUUCGAGCGUCAUUAUAGCCACUCAAGCCUCGCUUGGUGUUGGGGUGCGCAGCUCUGCGGCCUCUAAAAUCAGUGGCGGUGCCUGUAGGUUCUGAGCGUAGUAAUUCUUCUCGCUAUAGAGUCCUAAUGGGUUUCCAGCCAAAACCCCCAUAUUUUUUUAUAGGUUGACCUCGGAUCAGGUAGGGAUACCCGCUGAACUUAA